GACGAACGCUGGCGGCGUGCCUAAUACAUGCAAGUAGAACGCUGAAGGAGGAGCUUGCUUCUCCGGAUGAGUUGCGAACGGGUGAGUAACGCGUAGGUAACCUGCCUGGUAGCGGGGGAUAACUAUUGGAAACGAUAGCUAAUACCGCAUAAGAGUAGAUGUCGCAUGACAUUUGCUUAAAAGGUGCAACUGCACCACUACCAGAUGGACCUGCGUUGUAUUAGCUAGUUGGUGAGGUAACGGCUCACCAAGGCAACGAUACAUAGCCGACCUGAGAGGGUGAUCGGCCACACUGGGACUGAGACACGGCCCAGACUCCUACGGGAGGCAGCAGUAGGGAAUCUUCGGCAAUGGACGGAAGUCUGACCGAGCAACGCCGCGUGAGUGAAGAAGGUUUUCGGAUCGUAAAGCUCUGUUGUAAGAGAAGAACGAGUGUGAGAGUGGAAAGUUCACACUGUGACGGUAUCUUAACAGAAAGGGACGGCUAACUACGUG
This 495-nucleotide ribosomal RNA is filed under the name uncultured bacterium. RNAcentral describes it as "partial 16S ribosomal RNA". It matches the Rfam family "Bacterial small subunit ribosomal RNA", at positions 28 to 507 of the family's 1533-position model. The record is from RNAcentral.